GCUUAGGUUUCUCGUCUUAGGAUCAUCUGGGGUCAUUCGUACUCGUCCGCGAGAGGUGAAAUUCUUGGACCGGACGAAGACGAUCAGCAGCGAAAGCAUCUGUCAGGGAUGUUUUCUGCGACAAAGGACGAAGGUCAGGGUAUCGAAGACGAUUAGAUACCGUCGUAGUCCUGACUGUAAACUAUGCCGACUUGGGUCUUGCAGAGUAAAUACUUUGUGAGACCCACACAGAAAUGAAAGUGUAUGGGUUCUGGGGGCAGUAUGGACACAAGUCUGAAACUUGAAGGAAUUGACGGAAGAGCACCAUAAGACGUGGAGCUUGCGGCUUAAUUUGACUCAACGCGGGAAAACUUACCAGGUCAAGACAUGGGCGUGAUUGACAGGCUAAUGACCUUUCUCGAUUCCUUGGAUGGUGGUGCAUGGUCGCACUUAGUUGGUGCAGUGAUUUGUCAGGUUUAUUCCGGUAACGAACGAGACCUCGGCCUUGUAAAUAGUUUUACUGCUUACAGGGACAAUGUCGGCUACGUCAAGGAAGUUCGAGGCAAUUGCAGAUCUGGAAUGCCCUUAGAUGUCCUGGGUCGCACGCGUGCUACAAUGACGCCACGAGCGAGUUCAUGUGUUGAAAGACAUGUGAAAUCAGC
This 641-nucleotide ribosomal RNA is filed under the name uncultured freshwater eukaryote. RNAcentral's name for it is "bacterial SSU rRNA". It matches the Rfam family "Eukaryotic small subunit ribosomal RNA", at positions 856 to 1554 of the family's 1831-position model. The record is from RNAcentral.